GACGAACGCUGGCGGCGUGCUUAACACAUGCAAGUCGAACGGAAAGGCCCUGCUUUUGUGGGGUGCUCGAGUGGCGAACGGGUGAGUAACACGUGAGUAACCUGCCCUUGACUUUGGGAUAACUUCAGGAAACUGGGGCUAAUACCGGAUAGGAGCUCCUGCUGCAUGUUGGGGGUUGGAAAGUUUCGGCGGUUGGGGAUGGACUCGCGGCUUAUCAGCUUGUUGGUGGGGUAGUGGCUUACCAAGGCUUUGACGGGUAGCCGGCCUGAGAGGGUGACCGGCCACAUGGGGACUGAGAUACGGCCCAGACGCCUACGGGAGGCAGCAGUGGGGAAUAUUGCACAAUGGGCGGAAGCCUGAUGCAGAAACGCCGCGUGCGGGAUGACGGCCUUCGGGUUGUAAACCGCUUUCGCCUGUGACGAAGCGUGAGUGACGGUAAUGGGUAAAGAAGCACCGGCUAACUACGUG
RNAcentral lists this ribosomal RNA (468 nucleotides) under uncultured bacterium. RNAcentral's name for it is "partial 16S ribosomal RNA". It matches the Rfam family "Bacterial small subunit ribosomal RNA", at positions 28 to 507 of the family's 1533-position model. The record is from RNAcentral.